GAAGUGAAUAAAAUAGCUUUGGUGAAGCGAACCCGGGGAACUGAAACAUCUCAGUACCCGGAGGAAAGGACAUCAACAGAGACUCCCGUAGUAGUGGCGAGCGAACCGGGACCAGGCCAAUGCCUUUGAUUCAACUAGCAGAAGCUUCUGGAAAGGAGCGCCAUAGUGGGUGACAGCCCCGUAUGCGAAAGUGAUGUCAAAGGAUUUGAGUAGGGCGGGACACGUGAAAUCCUGUCUGAACAUGGGGGGACCACCCUCCAAGCCUAAGUACUCCUCAGCGACCGAUAGUGAACCAGUACCGUGAGGGAAAGGCGAAAAGAACCCCGGGAGGGGAGUGAAAUAGAUCCUGAAACCGCGUGCUUACAAAAAGUAGGAGCCUCGUAAGGGGUGACUGCGUACCUUUUGUAUAAUGGGUCAGCGACUUACAUUCAGUGGCAAGGUUAACCGAAUAGGGAAGCCGUAGAGAAAUCGAGUCCGAAUAGGGCGAUCAGUCGCUGGGUGUAGACCCGAAACCAAGUGAUCUAUCCAUGGCCAGGAUGAAGGUGCCGUAACAGGUACUGGAGGUCCGAACCGACUAGUGUUGCAAAACUAGCGGAUGAGCUGUGGAUAGGGGUGAAAGGCUAAACAAACUUGGAAAUAGCUGGUUCUCUCCGAAAACUAUUUAGGUAGUGCCUCAAGUAUUACCAUCGGGGGUAGAGCACUGUUUUGGCUAGGGGGUCAUGGCGACUUACCAAACCAAGGCAAACUCCGAAUACCGAUGAGUACAGCUUGGGAGACAGAGCACCGGGUGCUAACGUCCGGACUCAAGAGGGAAACAACCCAGACCGCCAGCUAAGGUCCCUAAAAUUGGCUAAGUGGGAAACGAAGUGGGAAGGCUAAAACAGUCAGGAUGUUGGCUUAGAAGCAGCCAUCAUUUAAAGAAAGCGUAAUAGCUCACUGAUCGAGUCGUCCUGCGCGGAAGAUGUAACGGGGCUAAGCCAGUUACCGAAGCUGCGGAUUUGCAAUUUAUUGCAAGUGGUAGGAGAGCGUUCUGUAAGCCUGUGAAGGUGCGUUGUAAAGCGUGCUGGAGGUAUCAGAAGUGCGAAUGCUGACAUGAGUAGCGUUAAAGGGGGUGAAAAGCCCCCUCGCCGUAAGCGCAAGGUUUUCUACGCAACGUUCAUCGGCGUAGAGUGAGUCGGCCCCUAAGGCGAGGCAGAGAUGCGUAGCUGAUGGGAAACAGGUCAAUAUUCCUGUACCG
RNAcentral lists this ribosomal RNA (1237 nucleotides) under Gloeochaete wittrockiana. RNAcentral's name for it is "partial Bacterial large subunit ribosomal RNA". It matches the Rfam family "Bacterial large subunit ribosomal RNA", at positions 155 to 1446 of the family's 2925-position model. The record is from RNAcentral. Lineage: Eukaryota; Glaucocystophyceae; Gloeochaetales; Gloeochaetaceae.